CCUACGGGUGGCUGCAGUGGGGAAUUUUCCGCAAUGGGCGCAAGCCUGACGGAGCAAGACCGCGUGUGGGAGGAAGGCCUACUGGUUGUAAACCACUUUUGAUAGGGAAGAAGACAAUGACGGUACCUAUCGAAUCAGCCUCGGCUAACUCCGUGCCAGCAGCCGCGGUAAUACGGAGGAGGCAAGCGUUAUCCGGAAUUAUUGGGCGUAAAGCGUCCGUAGGUGGAUGUUCAAGUCAGUUGUUAAAGCGUGGAGCUUAACUCCAUAAAGGCAAU
RNAcentral lists this ribosomal RNA (275 nucleotides) under uncultured bacterium. Its description in RNAcentral is "partial 16S ribosomal RNA". It matches the Rfam family "Bacterial small subunit ribosomal RNA", at positions 338 to 627 of the family's 1533-position model. The record is from RNAcentral.